GACGAACGCUGGCGGCGUGCCUAAUACAUGCAAGUAGAACGCUGAAGAGAGGAGCUUACUCUUCUUGGAUGAGUUGCGAACGGGUGAGUAACGCGUAGGUAACCUGCCUUGUAGCGGGGGAUAACUAUUGGAAACGAUAGCUAAUACCGCAUAACAAUGGAUGACACAUGUCAUUUAUUUGAAAGGGGCAAUUGCUCCACUACAAGAUGGACCUGCGUUGUAUUAGCUAGUAGGUGAGGUAAUGGCUCACCUAGGCGACGAUACAUAGCCGACCUGAGAGGGUGAGCGGCCACACUGGGACUGAGACACGGCCCAGACUCCUACGGGAGGCAGCAGUAGGGAAUCUUCGGCAAUGGGGGCAACCCUGACCGAGCAACGCCGCGUGAGUGAAGAAGGGUGUCGGAUCGUAAAGCUCUGUUGUAAGUCAAGAACGGGUGUGAGAGUGGAAAGUUCACACUGUGACGGUAGCUUACCAGAAAGGGACGGCUAACUACGUG
This 497-nucleotide ribosomal RNA is filed under the name uncultured bacterium. RNAcentral's name for it is "partial 16S ribosomal RNA". It matches the Rfam family "Bacterial small subunit ribosomal RNA", at positions 28 to 507 of the family's 1533-position model. The record is from RNAcentral.